This is a long non-coding RNA of Neofelis nebulosa (Clouded leopard), 2451 nucleotides long. RefSeq lists it as uncharacterized. Lineage: Eukaryota; Metazoa; Chordata; Mammalia; Carnivora; Felidae. The transcript is spliced from 3 exons. The record is from RefSeq and is a predicted model, not a curated record.
UCUCUCUCUCAAAAGUAAAUAAACAUACAAUGAAUUUGAAGCUACUGUAUGUCAGCUUCAAACACUGAUUUCCUGAGUACCUACAAACCAGCUCUCUCCCAUUUGAGUCUGCUAAUGGGAGCACUAGAAGGCAGGAAAAUGAGAAGGAUUUGCUUCUUUCUGUUUGCUCACUGUUCCUUUUCUACAUCACUUCAGCAAUAGUGCUUCAUCUUGGCAGUUGUUUCCAGUAGUUACAGUUGGCCCCAGAUUCUAGUGUUUUCCUCCUAUUCCCAGAAGGAUUUUCAGUGUGCCCCUUCAGAGAUAUCCGCGUCAGCAGCCCUGUGCCUCCUGUUCUGAGUCCUGGCGGCAAACGGGUGCCUCUUCAGAGCUCUUGCAGCAGUGUGGUGAUGUACCCUCUGGAUCUCAGCGCUGCAAGGGUUUUGUUUAGACUCUGGAGGUUCUACCAAAGGUGGACUUCCCCUUCUCCUCAGCUGCGAGCUUUGCAGGGUCCCUCCUUCGAAUUCCUGAGGAGCCAGCCUCAGCCAGAGAGCUGCUCAUCUCAGUAGUCAAUGCCUGGGCCAAAGCUGUGCGACUCGAAGAAUGAUCACCUGAGCUCCUCCCAUCGGAUCGUUUAGCUAUCUCCUACUUUCUUACGUAGGAAAAGGAGCAUCCUCAGGAAACCUCAUCCACCACAUGGUUUUCCAAGAUAGCUAUCACUGGGGGAGAACAAAACCACGCUAUUUCUGCAGGAGAACAGACAAUGACAAUCCACGUUCUAUUUUUGACAGUCCAGAGUGCUACAUGUGUGGUCAGUCUCGAAGUGACUAUUAUACAGCACUGGGCGAGUGGGGAUGCCUGUGUGCCCUCUCUGGGUCUGGGUACUUCUAUGAGUGCUCCAGGAUCACUGUCCUUGACUUGAGCUCUCAGGGCUGGGGCAUUGACCCUAAGCUGGAAAGGUAAGCCAGCAGGCCCUCUUUGGUGAUGGGUGAGAGCGUGUCCAUCUAGGCUGCCAAAUUCUGAGAUUCAACAAGGGCUUGGUCUUAAUGUUACAUCUGCUGGCCCAUAAAUGCUCACGCCCCAGCUUUGGGGCAGUGGUUGGUCAGACUCCCACUCCCUCCCAGCCCCCAUCCUUUAACAUAGGAACUUCUGCAGAGAAAUAGCUCUCUUGUGAUGGCACUCAGGUCCCCUUGGAGUUCCACUUCCCGACCAACCCAUCAAGGAUUCUGAGGAUCCCAUCUUUCUUUUGGCAUUUCAUUGAAGAGACAAGGAGAAAAAAAGAAAAAAAAAGGGAGAGAGAGAGAGACAAGGAGAACUAGCCACUUUCAUGUCCAGUGUGCAAAUGCUCCUAAAACUGUAGCUGCAAAGGGUAAAAAGGGAAAAGGUGGGCAGAAGAGAGCAAAGAACAGGAGUGUGAGAGAAGAUGAGUUAGAGAAAGAAACAGAGGAAAGGAGUUGGAGCAGGGGUUGGGAUGCUUUUAAAUACAGUGUCGCCUCUUUUCAGAUCCAAAUGGCAUUUUCUGCUGUCAAGGUCCACAUGAGACCAUCAGAAGAGCGGUAUGGCUCCCCCAUCCGGGAGGCCCAGGACCUGGGUCUGGCGCUUUCUUGCUUGUGUCUGUUGUGUGCAGCCUCCUGCGAACUACUGUGGUUUGGCUCUGUUCUGCCAUCCUCUGUCUUUGCCUGCGGCUGCGUCUAGAAGCUAAGUGCAGAGGAGCAAAGUGACUCCCUUCAGGAUGGUUUCCAGGCAGCUUCUAAACAUACAUCUCUUUUGCUGUCCAACUCUACUUUCUUCCUUUCCCCACUCGUGCUCCCCCAGGCUACAGGGACAACAGGGAAGACAGAGCUUCCCUGGUUUGCCUACACGUUCUCACUGUCCUGCAGCCUGAUUCCAGGACUGGCCUUCUCGCUGUACCCAUGGAGCUGCCUGUUGGGGACUGUGAGCUGUCACCCCUCUCAGCUGGGUUCAGAAGGCCUCAAUUUAUUCUCAGCCCUGCCACCAUUUUCUUUGUAGUCUCAACUUCCUCUGCUGUUAAGUGGGUCCAUACGUGACUCCUUUAUUUCCUACCACCAAGUGCUCAAAGUGUCCCUGACUUCAUCUUGGAUUUCCAAGGACAAACUAAAGGAACUAUUUUAUGACCAGCCCUGUCCCCUUUACCACGUCCACUGUUGGGACCCAGGCCUGCCAUGGACCAAUGUUCUCUCUCUAGCACUCCUCCUCUGGGAAGUCCCUGUGCUCCAGGUGUCGUCAGGACUCAGGCUCUCUCACCAUCACCCCUGAGAGGCGAAUGCAAACUGCUUAAAGGGCCUGAUUUUCAGUCUCUGCUGUGAAUGAGAUGCACACUGCGGGGCGGUUUGUAGCUGGCUUAUCUGCAAUGCUAAGCAAGUCUUAUUCCUGGCUGUUUGUUAAAAGCAUCGUGGAGAAUUUAGAACUCUAUGCCAAGCCCCAUCCCAGAUCAAAUAAAUCUGAAUUUCUAAU